GGAUUCCCCUAGUAACGGCGAGUGAACCGGGAUGAGCCCAACUUGAAAAUCUCCGCGCUGCGCGCGGCGAAUUGUAGUCUAGAGAAGCGACCCCUGUGGCGGCGCCCGCCAAAGUUUCCUGGAAGGGAGCGUCCGAGAGGGUGAGAACCCCGUAGGCGGGCCGCGCGUCACUCCACGAGGCGCUUUCGCAGAGUCGGGUUGUUUGGGAAUGCAGCCCAAAGCAGGUGGUAAAUCCCAUCUAAGGCUAAAUACUGGCGGGAGACCGAUAGCGAACAAGUACCGUGAGGGAAAGAUGAAAAGAACUUUGAAAAGAGAGUCAAAAAGUGCUUGAAAUUGUUGAGGGGGAACGGAAUGGAGGCUGCGGGUGCGCCCAGGCUUAUGCCGGCUCAACGGCCGGCUGUAUGCGCUGGGCGCUGGUCAGCGUGGGUUGGCCCGGCGGGACAAACGCGGGGGUUGAUACCCCGCCUAUGCCGCCGGGGCGACUGAGGCUCCUCACGGCGCUCUUCGAGUCCUUCGGGAACGGCGCCGUCACGACGCUGGCGGAAGGCUUCCACUCUACCCGUCUUGAAACACGGACCAAGGAGUAUAACAUGCAUGCGAGCUGGUGGGUGGCAAACCCACGAAGCGCAAGUAACCUGACUGGUGGGAUGGCCUGUGCCUGCACCAUCGACCGACCAUGAUCUUCUGUGAAAGGUUUGAGUGCGAGCAUGUUUGUUGUGACCCGAAAGAUGGUGAACUAUGCCUGAGCAGGGCGAAGCCAGAGGAAACUCUGGUGGAGGCUCGUAGAUGUGCUGAC
This 796-nucleotide ribosomal RNA is filed under the name Lemmermannia komarekii. Its description in RNAcentral is "partial large subunit ribosomal RNA". It matches the Rfam family "Eukaryotic large subunit ribosomal RNA", at positions 72 to 890 of the family's 3401-position model. The record is from RNAcentral. Lineage: Eukaryota; Viridiplantae; Chlorophyta; Trebouxiophyceae.